RNAcentral lists this ribosomal RNA (305 nucleotides) under uncultured bacterium. RNAcentral's name for it is "bacterial SSU rRNA". It matches the Rfam family "Bacterial small subunit ribosomal RNA", at positions 333 to 655 of the family's 1533-position model. The record is from RNAcentral.
AACAUCCUACGGGGCGCAGCAGUGGGGAAUACUGCACAAUGGGGGAAACCCUGAUGCAGCAACGCCGCGUGAGUGAUGACGGCCUUCGGGUUGUAAAGCUCUGUCUUCAGGGACGAUAAUGACGGUACCUGAGGAGGAAGCCACGGCUAACUACGUGCCAGCAGCCGCGGUAAUACGUAGGUGGCGGGCGUUGUCCGGAUUUACUGGGCGUAAAGGGAGCGUAGGCGGACUUUUAAGUGAGAUGUGAAAUACUCGGGCUCAACUUGAGUGCUGCAUUUCAAACUGGAAGUCUAGAGUGCAGGAGG